GAUGAACGCUGGCGGUAUGCUUAACACAUGCAAGUCGAACGGACUCUUCGGAGUUAGUGGCGGACGGGUGAGUAACGCGUGAGAAUCUGGCUUUGGGUUCGGGACAACCACUGGAAACGGUGGCUAAUACCGGAUGUGCCGAGAGGUAAAAGAGAAAUUGCCUGAAGAUGAGCUCGCGUCUGAUUAGCUAGUUGGUGAGGUAAAGGCUCACCAAGGCAGCGAUCAGUAGCUGGUCUGAGAGGAUGACCAGCCACACUGGGACUGAGACACGGCCCAGACUCCUACGGGAGGCAGCAGUGGGAAAUUUUCCGCAAUGGGCGAGAGCCUGACAGGGCAAUACCGCGUGAGGGAAGAAGGCUCUUGGGUUGUAAACCUCUUUUCUUAGGGAAGAACAAAAUGACGGUACCUAAGGAAUCAGCAUCGGCUAACUCCGUG
Molecule: ribosomal RNA, 435 nt
Filed under: uncultured bacterium
Lineage: Bacteria
Description: partial 16S ribosomal RNA
Rfam family: Bacterial small subunit ribosomal RNA
Source: RNAcentral